Molecule: ribosomal RNA, 263 nt
Filed under: uncultured prokaryote
Description: partial 16S ribosomal RNA
Rfam family: Bacterial small subunit ribosomal RNA
Source: RNAcentral
UACGUAGGUGGCAAGCGUUGUCCGGAAUUACUGGGUGUAAAGGGCGUGUAGGCGGGGAUGCAAGUCAGAUGUGAAAUUCCGGGGCUCAACCCCGGCACUGCAUCUGAAACUGUGUCUCUUGAGUGCUGGAGAGGAAAGCGGAAUUCCUAGUGUAGCGGUGAAAUGCGUAGAUAUUAGGAGGAACACCAGUGGCGAAGGCGGCUUUCUGGACAGUAACUGACGCUGAGGCGCGAAAGACGUGGGGAGGCAAACAGGAUUAGAUA